Molecule: transfer RNA, 91 nt
Filed under: Gammaproteobacteria bacterium
Lineage: Bacteria; Pseudomonadati; Pseudomonadota; Gammaproteobacteria
Also listed under: 1 other name
Description: tRNA-Ser
Rfam family: tRNA
About the family: Transfer RNA (tRNA) molecules are approximately 80 nucleotides in length. Their secondary structure includes four short double-helical elements and three loops (D, anti-codon, and T loops). Further hydrogen bonds mediate the characteristic L-shaped molecular structure. tRNAs have two regions of fundamental functional importance: the anti-codon, which is responsible for specific mRNA codon recognition, and the 3' end, to which the tRNAs corresponding amino acid is attached (by aminoacyl-tRNA synthetases). tRNAs cope with the degeneracy of the genetic code in two manners: having more than one tRNA (with a specific anti-codon) for a particular amino acid; and 'wobble' base-pairing, i.e. permitting non-standard base-pairing at the 3rd anti-codon position.
Source: RNAcentral
GGAGAAGUGGCCGAGUGGUUGAAGGCGCACGAUUGGAAUUCGUGUAUGCGUUAAUAGCGUAUCGUGGGUUCGAAUCCCACCUUCUCCGCCA